UAUAUUGUAGUCUAUAUAGGAAAUAGGGUUCUGACUAGAUAUAUUGUAGUCUAUAUAGGGAAUAGGGUUCUGACUAGAUAUAUUGUAGUCUAUAUAGGAAAUAGGGUUCUGACUAGAUAUAUUGUAGUCUAUAUAGGAAAUAGGGUUCUGACUAGAUAUAUUGUAGUCUAUAUAGGAAAUAGGGUUCUGACUAGAUAUAUUGUAGUCUAUAUAGGGAAUAGGGUUCUGACUAGAUAUAUUGUAGUCUAUAUAGGGAAUAGGGUUCUGACUAGAUAUAUUGUAGUCUAUAUAGGGAAUAGGGUUCUGACUAGACAUAUUGUAGUCUAUAUAGGGAAUAGGGUUCUGACUAGAUAUAUUGUAGUCUAUAUAGGGAAUAGAGUUCUGACUAGAUAAACUGUAGUCUAUAUAGGGGUCGUGACCAGCCUCACACUCCAGUACAGUAGGUGGUAGAGAAUACAGAUGAACAGGGGGCCGUGACCAGCCUCACACUCCAGUAGGUGGCGGUGUAUCCACCUUUCAGUGUGUUGUGAUCCACCAAUAGUAAUGUAAAGAAGAAGAAGAAGGACAGAUGAAAGCAAUAUGGUGGAAGCUGAACAUCAGCUCAGAAAUAUAACACAGCCAUCUUCAAAUCAAA
Long non-coding RNA from Oncorhynchus keta (chum salmon), 634 nucleotides. RefSeq lists it as uncharacterized. The record is from RefSeq and is a predicted model, not a curated record. The transcript has 3 exons. NCBI's taxonomy places the organism in Eukaryota, Metazoa, Chordata, Actinopteri, Salmoniformes, Salmonidae.